RNAcentral lists this long non-coding RNA (325 nucleotides) under Lathyrus oleraceus (garden pea). Its description in RNAcentral is "Pisum sativum (pea) long non-coding RNA (PSAT_LNC038361)". The record is from RNAcentral. Lineage: Eukaryota; Viridiplantae; Streptophyta; Magnoliopsida; Fabales; Fabaceae.
AGAAUUAUGUUAUGUUAUUAUAUAUAUUAUCAAUAUUGUUGUAUUAACUAUGUAAUAGAUUUUUGAAAUAUUUAUUUUAUUAAGUUGUGAAUGUAUGAUUAUGUGUGACAUAUCUAUUAAAUUUAGUUUCAUAUUAUUAAUUUAUUUAAUAAAUGAUUUGACCGUAGAUUUAACCGGUUGAACCAAUUAAACCUUAAACUGCAAAUUUCACCGGUUCGAUCUCCGAUCCGAUUUUUAAAACAUUGUCUUAAACACUCCUUUUAAAAUUAAUGUAAAUUGUUAAAUAAUCAAGGUUAUUUUGGACUAAACACUCUUACCUUAAUUA